Molecule: ribosomal RNA, 253 nt
Filed under: uncultured bacterium
Lineage: Bacteria
Description: partial 16S ribosomal RNA
Rfam family: Bacterial small subunit ribosomal RNA
Source: RNAcentral
UACGAAGGAUGCAAGCGUUAUCCGGAUUCAUUGGGUUUAAAGGGAGCGUAGGCGGAUUGGUAAGUCAGUGGUGAAAUCUUUGGGCUUAACCCAGAAACUGCCAUUGAUACUGCUGAUCUAGAGUACAGUUGCCGUUGGCGGAAUAUGACAUGUAGUGGUGAAAUACUUAGAUAUGUCAUAGAACACCGAGUGCGAAGGCAGCUAACGAAGCUGUAACUGACGCUGAGGCUCGAAAGUGCGGGGAUCAAACAGG